Molecule: signal recognition particle RNA, 299 nt
Filed under: Microcebus murinus (gray mouse lemur)
Lineage: Eukaryota; Metazoa; Chordata; Mammalia; Primates; Cheirogaleidae
Description: Metazoan signal recognition particle RNA (ENSMICG00000045000.1)
Rfam family: Metazoan signal recognition particle RNA
About the family: The signal recognition particle (SRP) is a universally conserved ribonucleoprotein.
Source: RNAcentral
GCCAGGCAUGAUGCUGCACACCUGUAGUCUGUGCUACUCGGGAGACUGAGGCAGGAGGAUGGCUUGAGCCCAGGAGUUCUGGGCUAUAGUGCGCUAUGCCAUUUGGGUGUCCACACUAAAUUUGGCAUCAGUAUAGUGACCCACCAGGAGCAGGGGAUGACCAGGUUGCCAGAGGAGGGGUGGACCAGCCCGGCUCAGAAACAGAGCAGGUCCAAACUCCUGUGCUGACCAGCAGUGGGACACAGCCUGUGACUAGCCACUAUACUCCAGCCUGGGCAACACAGUAAAAUCCUGACUCA